This 253-nucleotide ribosomal RNA is filed under the name uncultured bacterium. Its description in RNAcentral is "partial 16S ribosomal RNA". It matches the Rfam family "Bacterial small subunit ribosomal RNA", at positions 524 to 776 of the family's 1533-position model. The record is from RNAcentral.
UACGUAGGUGGCGAGCGUUGUCCGGAUUUAUUGGGUUUAAAGGGUGCGUAGGCGGCCCCGUUAGUCAGCGGUGAAAUACGGCAGCUCAACUGUCGAGGUGCCGUUGAUACUGCGGGGCUUGAGUGCGGUCGAGGAGGGCGGAAUUGACGGUGUAGCGGUGAAAUGCUUAGAUAUCGUCAAGAACACCGAUAGCGAAGGCAGCCCUCCAGGCCGCAACUGACGCUGAGGCACGAAAGUGCGGGGAUCAAACAGG